ACUCCACGGGAGGCAGCAGUGGGGAAUAUUGCACAAUGGGCGCAAGCCUGAUGCAGCCAUGCCGCGUGUAUGAAGAAGGCCUUCGGGUUGUAAAGUACUUUCAGCAGUGAGGAAGGUGGGUAUGUUAAUAGCAUACUCAUUUGACGUUAGCUGCAGAAGAAGCACCGGCUAACUCCGUGCCAGCAGCCGCGGUAAUACGGAGGGUGCGAGCGUUAAUCGGAAUUACUGGGCGUAAAGCGCAUGCAGGUGGUUUGUUAAGUCAGAUGUGAAAGCCCGGGGCUCAACCUCGGAAUUGCAUUUGAAACUGGCAAACUAGAGUACUGUAGAGGGGGGUAGAAUUUCAGGUGUAGCGGUGAAAUGCGUAGAGAUCUGAAGGAAUACCGGUGGCGAAGGCGGCCCCCUGGACAGAUACUGACACUCAGAUGCGAAAGCGUGGGGAGCAAACAGGAUUAGAUACCCCUGGGUAGGCUCUGC
Molecule: ribosomal RNA, 474 nt
Filed under: uncultured bacterium
Lineage: Bacteria
Description: bacterial SSU rRNA
Rfam family: Bacterial small subunit ribosomal RNA
Source: RNAcentral